GUUGUUUUUCCGAAAAUCAAUUGUGCCUGGCUGGAUUUUGUAGGAGUUUGACCUUAUCAGCUUCUUCUGCUUUUUUCCUGUCUGGUGCAAUGCACUUUUCGGUUAACAAGUCAACAUCAAUUUCUUUUGUUGUAAAAGGGUAAUUGGAAGGUGGCUUUCUUUUCGGAGAAAGUGUUUAUAGCCUUUUACCUCUACAAUCGGAGAGAUUGAGGUCUGCAGCGUAGAUCCUUCGGGGUUAGAUACAUUUGUGCUAAGUUAUAGCCCUGUAUAGACAACUUGUUGACUAUACUCGGUCAUGUAGCUUACUCGCUUAUGCUAUUUUACCUAC
RNAcentral lists this ribosomal RNA (328 nucleotides) under uncultured Neocallimastigales. RNAcentral describes it as "partial large subunit ribosomal RNA". The record is from RNAcentral. Lineage: Eukaryota; Fungi; Neocallimastigomycota; Neocallimastigomycetes; Neocallimastigales.